AGUGAACGCUGGCGGUAGGCCUAACACAUGCAAGUCGAACGGCAGCACAGUAAGAGCUUGCUCUUACGGGUGUCGAGUGGCGGACGGGUGAGGAAUACAUCGGAAUCUACUUUUUCGUGGGGGAUAACGUCGGGAAACUUACGCUAAUACCGCAUACAACCUACGGGUGAAAGCAGGGGAUCUUUGGACCUUGCGCGAUUGUAUGAGCCGAUGUCGGAUUAGCUAGUUGGCGGGGUAAAGGCCCACCAAGGCGACGAUCCGUAGCUGGUCUGAGAGGAUCAACAGACAGAUGGGCACUGAGACACGUCACAGACUCUGACGCGAGGCAGCGGUGGGGAAUAUUGGAGGAGGGGGGAAUGCGGGAUACAGGCAUACCGCGGGGGUGAAGAAGGCGUUCGGGUUGGAGAGCGCUGAAGUUGGGAAGGAAAAACAGCAGGUUAAUACCCCGCGGUACUGACGGUACCGAAAGAAUAAGCACCGGCUAACUUCGUG
Molecule: ribosomal RNA, 492 nt
Filed under: uncultured bacterium
Lineage: Bacteria
Description: partial 16S ribosomal RNA
Rfam family: Bacterial small subunit ribosomal RNA
Source: RNAcentral